AUUGAACGCUGGCGGCAUGCCUUACACAUGCAAGUCGAACGGUAACAGGUCUUCGGAUGCUGACGAGUGGCGAACGGGUGAGUAAUACAUCGGAACGUGCCUAGUAGUGGGGGAUAACUACUCGAAAGAGUGGCUAAUACCGCAUGAGAUCUACGGAUGAAAGCAGGGGAUCGCAAGACCUUGUGCUACUAGAGCGGCCGAUGGCAGAUUAGGUAGUUGGUGGGAUAAAAGCUUACCAAGCCGACGAUCUGUAGCUGGUCUGAGAGGACGAUCAGCCACAGUGGGACUGAGAAACGGCCCAGACUCCUACGGGAGGCAACAGUGGGGAAUUUUGGACAAUGGGCGAAAGCCUGAUCCAGCAAUGCCGCGUGCAGGAUGAAGGCCUUCGGGUUGUAAACUGCUUUUGUACGGAACGAAAAGCCCCGGGUUAAUACCCUGGGGUCAUGACGGUACCGUAAGAAUAAGCACCGGCUAACUACGUGCCAGCAGCCGCUGUAA
RNAcentral lists this ribosomal RNA (498 nucleotides) under uncultured bacterium. Its description in RNAcentral is "partial 16S ribosomal RNA". It matches the Rfam family "Bacterial small subunit ribosomal RNA", at positions 30 to 523 of the family's 1533-position model. The record is from RNAcentral.